GUUGCCGAUUUGUUGAAUACCAUUUCUUCGCAGACGAAAAUUUUCCCUCCUUUCAUUCAGACAACCGACGAGACUCCUAAUUGUGAUCAUGUCGGUCAUUCCACGAGUAGUUCCAUUGAUGAUUCGUUCUCAUACACUCACUGAGCUUACACGCGAACACACCGCUUUCUUUCUUCCUCCAAAACGAAUUGAGCCCAAAUAUCUCACCCUGACCCUCUUGCAGCCCCAAGUCCCAAAUGAUAAUACAUACUCGAUCAAUACGUGGCUCAGAAGCGAAACUUUGAAGAUUGUGUUUGAAUCUCCUUUCUCUCCCAGCCCUAACCCUGUCUGGAGUCGUGGAAGCAAUCUUUAUGUAACAGAGAUCAUUUAUCCAAGCACUAGCCCUCGCUCUCUCAUUUGAAGGCCCCAUUAUCCAAGCCCUAACCCCCUUCUCUCCCAUUCGAAGCAAACUUUGGCGUCAAAACCCUGAUAACCGAAGCCCUAAUUUUUUGUGUCUGGUUCUACUGCUGAUUCAAAGCAAGGAUCGAUUAAUUUCGUUCUCUCUCUAAAAAUUCUUUCAGUUUCUUCAACCUUCCGUGUCGAACAUUCCGAUGAUGAGCGAGCAAAUGGGUCUUUCUGGCACUUAUCGUCUCCGUCGUGGUCUCUCUGAGAAACCCCUAAGGUGAAACAGAACUCGCUACUUCACCAUCUUCUUCAAUCGAUUCUUGGAUUUCUAUAGAUUUUCUUUCUGGUAUCGAAGGAGGUGCCCUCAAUCUCGAGUACGAAUUCUACCGAGAAACAUGCCCAUUCUUCAAGCACAGGAACACCCCAGCGCAACUACUGCGCCUCUUGUUCCACGAUUACUUCAUUGAGGGUUGUGAUGCUUCAGUUCUAUUAGAUGACAACAAUGGGAAUAAGAAUAACUCCAUUGAGAAGGAUGCUAUUCCAAACAAAACGUUAAAGGGGGUCUGAUUAAGGAGGAGCUGGAAAAAGUUUGCCCAGGGGUGGUUUCUUGUGCUGACAUUCUUGUUCUUGCUACUAGAGAUGGUGUUCUUAUGUCGAACAGGCUCACAUUUGGAACUACUCAAGGAUCACCCUAAGCUCAUACGAUUGCUAGAAGUGAAAAAAGAUUCACUACUACAAGGUGCAGUUGAGCAAGACAAAGUAAAAAAUCAAUACGGAAUCUGGUUGACAGUCAAGUCAACGAAUGUCUUUCCUGCGUUCCACAAGUUGGGGAUCAUCUGGAUCAGGAAGCACAUCACCUCUCACUCUCUGUCCCAUUUGGUCCACUAGCACUAGCAGGAGUGAGUGUUCCUGACACUGCAUUAACAGAACCUGGUGGCACCUAUAAAAACUGUCAGAAAAGCAUCGAGAAGUUCCACUGCCGCCUUGCCUAUCUCAACAAACCAGAGGUUCUGGUUCUAAUAGCAGGAGCCGUAUCUGCAAUUAUUAAUGGUGUGAUUACGUUACUGGAUUAGUUGACUGUCGCUUCCAUUUUUCACAAGGCAGAGAUUGGGUUGGCUGGGCGCUUCUAUAGCUCAUUGAAUUUUUGUUUUCGAAGGUCUUCAGGGCAGGCAUCUCACUUCACGAGUGCAUUUGGCGCUGAUCAAGUUGUUGCACUCCAGAUGUUUGAUACUAUAUAUAGGAAGCCAGAGAUAGAUGCAUAUGACAUGAAGCGAAAAAUAUUGGAUGACAUUAGUGUGGACGCGGAGUGAAGAUAUGUCCAUUUUAGUUAUCCAGCUGUACCAGAUGAGCAAAUAUUCAGUUCAUUCUCUCCUUACAUCCCUAGUGGCACAACUUCAGCUUUGGUUGGACAUAAUGGAAGCGUGAAGUCAACAGUGAUCCGUCUUAUUUAUAGAUUUUAUGAUCCACAAACUGGUGAAGUACUUAUUGAUUGAAUUAAUCUAAAAGUGUUCCAGCUUAAAUGAAUUUGGGAUAAACUUGGUUUCGUCAGCCAAGAACUUGUGUUGUUCGCAUCCAGGAUUGAGGAUAAUAUUGUGUAUGGAAGGAUGGGGAAAUAAUUGAGGAGAUUAGAGCUGCAGCUGAGCUUGCAAAUGCUGCCAAAUUCGUUGAUAAACUUCCACAGGGACUAUUAAUUAUGAUGGGUGAGCACGGAAUUCAGUUGUCUGUUUGAUAGGGACAACGAGUUGCCAUAGCCAACAAUUAUGAAAGACCCGCGAAUUCUACUUCUAGAGGAAGCACCAAGUGUAUUUGAUGGUGAAUUAGAGAGGAUUGUGCAAGAAGCAUUGUAUAGGAUUAUGGUCAACAGAACAGCAGUUGUUGUUGCCCAUCGUUUGAGCACAGUGAGGAAUGCCGAUAUGUUUGCGUGAUUCGUCAAGGUGGUGAAAAAGGUCAUAUGAUUGCUAGAAGUGAACAAAGAUUCACAACUACAAGGUGCAAUUUCAAGACAAAGUCAGAAAUUAAUACGGAAUCUGGUUGACAGUCAGGUCAACUAAUGUCUUUUCUGCGUUCCACAAGUUUGGGGAUCAUCUGGAUCAGGAAACAACCACCACUACUCAUUCUCUGUCCCAUUUGGUCCACUAGCACUAGCAGGAGCAAGUGUUCCUGAAACUGCAUUAACAGACCGGUGGCACCUAUAAAAACUGUCAGAAAAGUGUCAAGAAGUUCCGCUACAGCCUUGCCUAUCUCAACAAACCAGAGGUUCUGGUUCUGAUAGCAGGAGCCGUAUCUGCAAUAAUUAAUGGUGUGAUUACGUUACUGUAUUAGCUGGUCUUCAGGGCAGGGAUCUCACUUCACAAGUUUAUUUGGUGCUGGUCAAGCUGCUACAUUCCAGAUGGUUGAGACUAUAUAUAGGAAGCCAGAGAUAGAUGCAUAUGACAUGAAGGGAAAAAUAUUGGAUGACAUAAGUCUGGAGGCAGAGCGAAGAUAUGUCCAUUUUAGUUAUCCAACCAUACCAGAUGAGCAAAUAUUCAGUGCACUCUCUCUUUCCAUCCAUAGUGGCACAACUGCAGCUUUGAUUGGACAUAGUGGAAGCGUGAAGUCAACAGUGAUCUGUCUGAUCCAUAGAUUUUAUGAUCCACAAUCUGGUGUACUUACUGAUGGAAUUAAUCUAAAAGUGUUCCAGCUUAAAUGGAUUUGGGAGAGAAUUGGUCUCGUCAGUUAGGAACCCGUGUUGUUCGCUUCCAGGGGUGAGGAUAAUAUUAUGUAUGGGAAGCCUACCUGAUAUUGGUUGGAAAAUGGUGUUCCCAUUGGAUCCACCACUUACUAAGGUGCUCUUGACAGGAGAACAACUAGGAUGCAUAGAUGAGUUUCUGACAAUUGUAUCAAUGCUUUCAGUGCCAUCAGUGUUCUUUAGACCUAAGGACAUGGUGGAGGAUAGUGAUGCUGCAAGGGAAAAAUUCUUUGUUUAAGAAUCUGACCACCUCACACUACUAAAUGUUUACCAGCAAUGGAACCUAAUCAAUACCGGGGUGAUUGGUGCAAUAAUCACUUUUUACAUGUAAAAGGGUUUCAGAAAGCAAGAAGGGUGAGAUCCCAGUUACUCAAUAUUCUGAAUACACUGCAAUCCCACUCAAAUCCUGUGGACUUGUUUGGGAUAUUGUGAGGAAGGCUAUCUGUUCUGAAUAAUUUCACAAUUCAGCAAGGCUUAAAGGUGUUGGGGGUGUAUGUUAAUUUGCAGAAUGGGAUGCCUUGCCACUUGCACCCAAGCAGUGCUCUAUAUGGUUUUGGUUACACCCCAGAUUAUGUGGUUUGUCAUGGGUCGAUCUUGACAAGAAAGAAGUACAUGCAGUGUGCAACAUUUGUAGAGUCCUAGUGGUUAGCUGAACUGGGCCUAGUUCUUUUUGGUGAAGGACUCGAUAACAUCAAUGUUGAAGCACAAAAUGAAGCAGAACUACUGAACGGGGGAUUUAAUACAGAAAAACCCUGCAAUAAAACCAAGCAAGGUUUUGGGGCUACCGACUUAACUAAGAUCACUUCUCCUACAGUUUCUGAAGCAGAUACACUUGGCUCUUCAAAUGUUCCUUUUUCUUUUGGCCUAGACUAUUAUGUCUUCCUUGGACAUGUCUCAAGAGUUCCUUCAAAUCAGGGGACCAACUUUUGAGAUUGGAGGGAAGGUCUUAUUAACUUUUGAAGGAAAUCCUCAUUGAAAAUCAGUGUUAGAUUUGAUAAGCCCAUAGAUGGUGGAAUUGACAUAUGGGGUCCUAUUGAGGUGGGUCAUUAUUCUUCCAUAAGCCCCUGGCGUGGAAGAUCUGGAUACGCUACUCAUCAACUUGUUAUUUGAGUAAUUUCUGCAUCAAAAUUUUGGAUGCUUUUGAGCUGUGAUUUAUGGGUAGUAAGAUAUACCUCCUUUUGCAGACAUCAAAGGGUUUCUAUCAGAUGUCAAACCUCCUCGUGCUGCAGAAUAUAUAUAAAAAUCCAUUUGAGCUCCGAAGAAAACUGUUAAGACAUUGUAUUUCACAUCCUCUUCAUUUAGUGGUGGCUUGAUAUCCUGCCACGUGAGGAUAUCAGUGGGAAGAUCACACUUGCCCUUUUAAAGGGCAUAGAAAGUCAUGUUUGGAAGAUUCGUUUGGAAUCUAUUGAAGUUGUUAACAAAAUCUUGGAAGAGGCCAGUAAGCGCAUUCAGCUAACCGGAACUGUAGAUUUAUUCAGAUCUCUUAGAAGACGCCUAUUUGACAUCAAUAAAAAAUUAGUUAUGGCAAGUUUGGCUGCUGUAGGUGCUGCCGCAUCUGCAAUGGUGAUCAGUUGAUAAGUCAAGCAAGGGCAUUCUAUCAGAUGAUUUGAAAUGCCUGGGUGACAAUAAAAAGAAUUUGACAGAAUCUUCUUUGACUACUUUAGAUUCUUGGCUUGCUGCUGUACAUCUUGACAAAACGGUUAUCUUUUAGAUGGAGAGUGAGAGAUGUUUGAAGAAGAAGUGAGAUGAGAUGUACGAAUAAAAAAUAAAAUAAAAUAAAAUAAAAAAAAAGGGGGAAAAAAAAAAAAGAGGAUGUCAGAUUUGUAUGAGAAAAAAAAGAGAAGUAGGGAAAAAAAAUGUGAGAAGAAAGAAAAUAGACUAUAUGAAAAGGAAAAUAAAAAAAAUAUGGAGAAGUUGUGAUAAAAGAGGAAGAAUGAGUUACAUGUGAAAAAAAAAAAAAAACAGAAGAUUGAAAAGGAAAAGAAAAAAAGUGGGAGAUUGGGUAAGACGUGAAAAAAAAAGAGAAAAAUGAGGCACUGAAGGCAUAUAAUAUUAUGUGUUGUGCUGUGCUGAAAAUCUACCCACUGUGCGACGAUCUCAUUAUAAUCCUAUCAGGUUGUUGAUUCGAGUUUUGGGAAAGCAGACCAUGGUUGGGUGCUUCAAUGUGAUAUGGAACUUUCUUUUUGGGUGGUAAAUAAUAUUAAUUCAAGUGGUUUUCCUUUCUAUACUUGCCCAUAUUUUUUUGCUUAGCGAAUAUAGGUAGUAUUUUCUCUCUUCUAAUCAAUUUUAAUUCUGAAAGUUCUGUGGUUCGCUUGAACAUGGCAGGGAAGAUUGUGAAAAUGAAUUAAAAGUAGCUAAGCAUUUUGUUGAUUGGGAACGAUAUUGUUUUUGAGUUUUGUGAUCUGAGAGUGCAAAUAUAAGAGAUGGGGCUUGACAAUGAAUACUGUACGAUUAGGGGUGAUGUGGUCGUGGAUCGUGGGUUGUUUGAUUUCAUGGGAAAGGGGGAGGAGGAGAAUCCUCAAGAGGAGUGAAAAUGCUUGUUCCCUAGUAUGAUAAUUUAUGCAUACUUAUCAUGUAUAUUUGUUUAAUUUAUUUAUGUAUUUGUGUCUAGAAAUACAUGCCAUAAACUUUGAAUUGUUCAAUCAAGAGCCAAUUAAAAAGAUAAAACUUUGGAAACACAAUUUUGAAAUUGAUUCUGAUUAAACAUAGAAGUUUGAAUAAUUUCUAGUAAAAGUUUUGGUUUAUUUAUUUCUUUAUAGUAAGAAACUUGUGAAAUUAUUCACACACACACUAACUCACAUUUAUAUGAUCUUUCAAACUUGUGAUCUUAGACUCAAAUAAUGAGUGACAUCUUAAGGUAAUAUAAGAUGAUGGCAUUUGAAAAAAAAAAGUGAGGUGCAAAGAGGGGAAAAAAAACAUGUUUGUUUUUGCAGUUGAAAAGAAACGAAAAAUCUCCAAUGAGAUGGCUGCAAAAAGUUUCUUAUGAAAAGGGUUACCUAGUGAGAUCAGACCGAAAGCUUCCUUGACUCGAAAAAAAUGGGAAUAAGGGAAAAUAGCUGGCUACUCAUUAGAGUGAAAGCCGUCAUAGAAACAAAAGAAAAAAACUAGAGAGGUUUCAAAAAGAAAAAGAAAAGAGUGAAAGCAAAAAAAAAAAUAAAAUAAAAUAAAAAAAUAGGGGGUGUUUUUGCAGUUGAAAAGAAAUGAAAAAUCUCCAAUGAGAUGGCUGCAAAAAGUUUCUUAUGAAAAGGGCUACCUAGUGAGAUCAGACCGAAAGCUUCCUUGACUUGAAAAAAAUGGGAAUAAGGGAAAAUAGCUGGCUAAGUGAAAGCUGUCAUAGAAAAGAAAAAAACUAGAGAGGUUUCAAAAAGAAAAAGAAAAGAGUGAAAAUUCACAUGCUUUUGAAAUCUUUGAAUCCUGUGUGAAAUUUGUUUUUGUUUUUGAACACAAAUUUGAAAUUGAUUAUAUUUGUGUUGAGUUUAUUUCUAAUGCACAUAUAAUGGACUAAGUUGACUACUAUUGAUUUAUAAAUGGACUAGAAAUCUUUGAACCUAAUUAUGCGAAUUUUUAUGUUUCUAAAGAUAAUAUAAUAAAAAUUUGUGGGUCCAAAUAAUGUUCAAUUUGAUUGAUGAUUUAUUGACACUUCGAAAACCUUGGCAUGUUUAGAUUUAUAUAUUUAUAUAUGUGUCUUUGCAUAUCGUCACAAAAUUGAAAAAUGACAAAAAUAUAUUUCUUUAUAAUUUUGUUUUUUUGUGUCUUUAUUUAUAUAUUUGAUCAUAUGAGAGAUCAUGUAGGGUGUAUGGGGACUUACAAUUGCAAAAGAAGCAAUUUAGGGCAUUUUUAAGUACGUCGCUAGGAAACAUAGCAAGGCUUCAUCGAUCGACCAUUGAAAUCAAAUCAAUCGAUGCAAGUGUCACUCGGUUCCAGUGUCUCAUUUGGUCUACCAACAUCAGCUGGACUGAGUGUUCCUGAAACUGCAUUAAGAGAACCCGGUGGCCACCUAUCAAAACUGUCAGAACAGCGUUUAGAAGUUCCACUGCCCCUCCUUGCCCAUCUCUACAAACCAGAGGUUCCAGUUCUGAUAGCAGGAGCUGUAUCUGCAAUUAUUAAUGAAGUGAGUUGUGCUUAGAAGGGGAGCAUAAUAUUUGGAGCUACUCAAGGAUCCUAAUGGAGCAUACUCUCAGCUCAUAUGAUUUCUAGAAGUGAGCAAGACAAGUCUUAAAUUACCACGGAAUCUGGUAGAUUGUCAAAUCAACAAAUUUCAUUCCUGCGUUCCACAAGUUGGGAAUCAUCUGGAGGAAACAACAAUCACCUCCCACUCUGUCUCACAAGGGAGAGUGUGGCUUGCAUGGGUGCUUUUAUAUGUUAUAGAAGUUUUGUUUAGGAAGGUCUUUACGGCAGGCAUCUCCAAUUCUCCUUGCAUGAGUGCAUUUGCUGCAGGUCAAGCUGUUGUAUUAUAGAUGUUUGAGACUAUAAAUAAGACGCUAGAGAUAGAUGCAUUUGACAUGAAUGGAAAAGUAUUGAAUGACAUUAGUCCACUUUGAGCGGAGCUGUUUGAGAGGUUGAUGAUGUUAUCAACCAGAUCCGGACAGAGAACUUCACAAAUAUCUAAACCAGGCAACCGAACUCCCUGUUUCUACUUACGCUGCAACCGGAACAUUUGAGGAAGACAGAUAAGGCAAGACUCCUGGAAAUGAAGAACCUUCGACCCAAGACAAUCCAAAGGAGAAAUAUGGAACAUAGUGCCUGGAGAUAUAGAGUUAAGUGAUGUCCAUUUUUGUUAUUCAGCCUGACUAGAUGAUCGAAUAGUCAGUGCAUUCUCUCUUUCCAUCCCUAGUUGCACAACUGCAGCUUUGGUUGGACAUAGUGGAAGAGCUUAAUGGUUUAGGUUGAUAAUUGUUAUCGUCAGCCAAGAACCCGUGUUGUUUGCAUCCAGCAUCGAGGAUAAUAUUGUGUAUGGGGAAGGAUGGGACAACAAUUGAGGAUAUUAGAGUUGCAGCUGAGCUAGUAAAUUCUGCCAAAUUCAUUGAUAAACUACUUCAGGUACACCGCACUAUGGUGGGUGAGCAGGAAAUUCAGUUGUUUGGUGGAUGGAAGCAACGAGUUUCCCUCGCCUGAGCAAUUCUGAAGGAUCCCCAAAAUCUACUUCUAAAUGAAGCAACAAGUGCUCUUGAUGCUGAAUCCGAGAGGAACUUGCAAGAAGCAAUGGAUAGGGUUAUGGUCAACAGGACAACAGUUAUUGUAGCCCAUCGAUUGAGCACGUUGAGGAAUGCCGAUAUGAUUGCCGUGAUUUAUCAAGGAAAGAUUUUUGAAAAAGGUGUCUUAGAUUUGGGUUCACUAAUUAUUUUGUAACUCGAUUACAUAUAGAGCAAAUAUAAAGGUUACAUUUGAAGUUUGAACUUGUGACCUGAUUUUUAACAGGCUUUUAGUUUUCAUAUUCUUGCUUUUUGUC
Cornus florida is the source of this 8561-nucleotide long non-coding RNA. RefSeq lists it as uncharacterized. The record is from RefSeq and is a predicted model, not a curated record. The transcript is spliced from 21 exons. NCBI's taxonomy places the organism in Eukaryota, Viridiplantae, Streptophyta, Magnoliopsida, Cornales, Cornaceae.